Molecule: long non-coding RNA, 437 nt
Organism: Magnolia sinica
Lineage: Eukaryota; Viridiplantae; Streptophyta; Magnoliopsida; Magnoliales; Magnoliaceae
Exons: 3
Source: RefSeq, a predicted model, not a curated record
GAAACUCCCUUAUUGAAGAAUAGUGCUCUUAUUAGCGGCUACAGCAUGGAGAAGUCCAACAGAUUUUCUACGUAUCAUCCUUAGUAACUGAAAACUCCUAUAUACUUCUCAUAUCUUCUCUUUCAAUGAAAGCCCUCUUAUGAUUUGGUUGCCAAUUUCUAUGGAAACUAGAUUUGGAUGUACUAUAUGCUUAUCAAUAUGCUAUUGAUUUUCAUACAGGUUUAUCUUACAAUUAAUUUUUUGUGCUUGAUCGAAUUUCGGGCAUGGAUAGCACUGAAGGAUUAUUUCUCAAGAAGACAGAAGAUGGUGAUAAAUCUCAAAUAUAUAGAUCCGACAUAUAUGAUCCGGGCUAUUCCAAGCAACGCAUCAGAUCAGAUAACAUAUGUUGCACGCUCCUUGCUAAGAGUGUUGUUCAUGGUGCUAUGGCUGGAUGCACA